AAAUAUUGCAGUAUAUUUUCAACCUCUGUCCAUUCAAGACUCAGGUCGGUAGGACGUGUCAGUGGAACUGAGUAGACAUUGUCGAUGAUAUUUAGACACUGUUCAUACUCCAGCAAAGCCUACAAAUAAACGAUACCAGUAUUCGUACAAAUGCGAAUCAAAUCGCUGAGUCUGGAGUCUUCAAUUCUUCAAUUUCCGAUUGUUGAAUUCAGUUCGGAGAGUGGAUGAAGAGUGAGUGAGUCUGUCUGAAGCGUAAACCUCCUAUCCGGGCGGCCGAUUUGCUGCCUGUACGGUUUCCUGUGUUGUUCAGCCGGUAUUUGUCCUACAAAGGUCGAAUCGGUAUCAUUGGGACGGGGAUGAUCUCCUCUAUCCAUAAAUGUCUUUCAUUUAUUUGCUGUUUAUAUUGGUGCCCGGUAAUCGCCUUUUAAAGUGGUGCCUGUCUCUGAUUGGUCGACGUGGUGUACUAUAUGUUGCCUAUCUACACGUAAUACGCAAAUGUUCUAUGUUAUGUGUUGGCCCUGAAAAGGGCCGUUUUCGUGGAUCCGUACUCCGUUACAUACUUGAAAUUCCACUGAUUUAAAUAUUUAACUAUAUAUUAUAUAUAGUACAUUAUUGGAUUACAAUAAAAUUACGUAUUAUUAUAAACGAUUAUUGUACAUUUGCAUAUUAUAUUUGAAUUAAUUACAA
Molecule: long non-coding RNA, 687 nt
Organism: Rhopalosiphum padi (bird cherry-oat aphid)
Lineage: Eukaryota; Metazoa; Arthropoda; Insecta; Hemiptera; Aphididae
Exons: 2
Source: RefSeq, a predicted model, not a curated record